Non-coding RNA from Pan troglodytes (chimpanzee), 148 nucleotides. It matches the Rfam family "Metazoan signal recognition particle RNA". Rfam says of the family: The signal recognition particle (SRP) is a universally conserved ribonucleoprotein. It is involved in the co-translational targeting of proteins to membranes. The record is from Rfam. NCBI's taxonomy places the organism in Eukaryota, Metazoa, Chordata, Mammalia, Primates, Hominidae.
GCCAGGUGUGGUGGUGCACACCUGUAAUCCCAGCUACUCGGGAGGCCGGGGCAGGAGAAUCGCUUGAGCCUGGGAGGUGGAGGUUGCAGUGAGCUGAGAUCGUGCCACUGCACUCCAGCCUGGGCGACAGAGCGAGACUCUGUCUCAA